This 328-nucleotide ribosomal RNA is filed under the name uncultured eukaryote. RNAcentral's name for it is "partial 18S ribosomal RNA". It matches the Rfam family "Eukaryotic small subunit ribosomal RNA", at positions 1470 to 1796 of the family's 1831-position model. The record is from RNAcentral.
CCCUUAGAUGUCCUGGGCCGCACGCGCGUUACACUGAUGCAUUCAACGAGCUUAUAACCUUGGCCGAGAGGCCUGGGCAAUCUUGUUAACGUGCAUCGUGAUAGGGAUAGAUUAUUGAAAUUAUUAAUCUUGAACGAGGAAUUCCUAGUAAACGCAGAUCAUCAAUCUGCAUUGAUUACGUCCCUGCCCUUUGUACACACCGCCCGUCGCACCUACCGAUUGGAUGGUCCGGUGAAGCCUCGGGAUUGUGGUUCUUGCCGCUUUAUUGUGAGUUGGUUGCGUGAACUUGUCUAAACCUUAUCAUUUAGAGGAAGGUGAAGUCGUAACA